UGGCAGCCUUUUGUUACAUGGAGUG
Molecule: non-coding RNA, 25 nt
Filed under: Mus musculus (house mouse)
Lineage: Eukaryota; Metazoa; Chordata; Mammalia; Rodentia; Muridae
Source: RNAcentral